RNAcentral lists this transfer RNA (71 nucleotides) under Moolgarda crenilabis (fringelip mullet). RNAcentral describes it as "Crenimugil crenilabis (fringelip mullet) tRNA-Ser". It matches the Rfam family "tRNA". Rfam says of the family: Transfer RNA (tRNA) molecules are approximately 80 nucleotides in length. Their secondary structure includes four short double-helical elements and three loops (D, anti-codon, and T loops). The record is from RNAcentral. RNAcentral also lists the same sequence under 2 other names. Lineage: Eukaryota; Metazoa; Chordata; Actinopteri; Mugiliformes; Mugilidae.
AAGAAAGUGGCAGAACGGUGAUGUGGUUGGCUUGAAACCAAUUUAUGGGGGUUCAAUUCCUCCCUUUCUCG